GUCCACGCUGUAAACGUUGGGCACUAGGUGUGGGCUCUAACCAACGGAGUCCGUGCAGCAGCUAACGCAUUAAGUGCCCCGCCUGGGGAGUACGGCCGCAAGGUUAAAACUCAAAGGAAUUGACGGGGGCCCGCACAAGCAGCGGAGCAUGUUGCUUAAUUCGAGGCAACGCGAAGAACCUUACCUGGGCUUGACAUGUAGGGAAAUCUCGUAGAGAUACGGGGUCCUUCGGGCGUCUACACAGGUGGUGCAUGGCUGUCGU
RNAcentral lists this ribosomal RNA (262 nucleotides) under uncultured bacterium. RNAcentral describes it as "partial 16S ribosomal RNA". It matches the Rfam family "Bacterial small subunit ribosomal RNA", at positions 793 to 1055 of the family's 1533-position model. The record is from RNAcentral.